RNAcentral lists this ribosomal RNA (497 nucleotides) under uncultured bacterium. RNAcentral's name for it is "partial 16S ribosomal RNA". It matches the Rfam family "Bacterial small subunit ribosomal RNA", at positions 28 to 507 of the family's 1533-position model. The record is from RNAcentral.
GAUGAACGCUGGCGGCGUGCCUAAUACAUGCAAGUCGAGCGAACAGACGAGGAGCUUGCUCCUUCGACGUUAGCGGCGGACGGGCGAGUAACACGUAGGUAACCUACCUAUAAGACUGGGAUAACUUCGGGAAACCGGAGCUAAUACCGGAUAAUAUUUCGAACCGCAUGGUUCGAUAGUGAAAGAUGGCUUUGCUAUCACUUAUAGAUGGACCUGCGCCGUAUUAGCUAGUUGGUAAGGUAACGGCUUACCAAGGCAACGAUACGUAGCCGACCUGAGAGGGUGAUCGGCCACACUGGAACUGAGACACGGUCCAGACUCCUACGGGAGGCAGCAGUAGGGAAUCUUCCGCAAUGGGCGAAAGCCUGACGGGGCAACGCCGCGUGAGUGAUGAAGGUCUUCGGAUCGUAAAACUCUGUUAUUAGGGAAGAACAAACGUGUAAGUAACUGUGCACGUCUUGACGGUACCUAAUCAGAAAGCCACGGCUAACUACGUG